This 344-nucleotide unclassified non-coding RNA is filed under the name soil metagenome. Its description in RNAcentral is "partial contains 5.8S ribosomal RNA, internal transcribed spacer 2, and large subunit ribosomal RNA". The stretch from base 1 to 120 matches the Rfam family "5.8S ribosomal RNA", at positions 35 to 154 of the family's 154-position model. The record is from RNAcentral.
GAUGAAGAACGCAGCGAAAUGCGAUACGUAAUGUGAAUUGCAGAAUUCAGUGAAUCAUCGAGUCUUUGAACGCACAUUGCGCCCCCUGGUAUUCCGGGGGGCAUGCCUGUCCGAGCGUCAUUGCUGCCCUCAAGCACGGCUUGUGUGUUGGGCCUCCGUCCUCCUCCCGGGGGCCGGGCCCGAAAGGCAGCGGCGGCACCGCGUCCGGUCCUCGAGCGUAUGGGGCUUCGUCACCCGCUCUUGUAGGCCCGGCCGGCGCUUGCCGACACAUCAAUCUUUUUUCCAGGUUGACCUCGGAUCAGGUAGGGAUACCCGCUGAACUUAAGCAUAUCAAUAGCGGAGGA